CAGUCUGCAACUCGACUGCAUGAAGCUGGAAUCGCUAGUAAUCGCGGAUCAGAAUGCCGCGGUGAAUACGUUCCCGGGUCUUGUACACACCGCCCGUCACACCAUGGGAGUCAGCAACGCCCGAAGCCAGUGACCCAACUGAGAAGAGGGAGCUGUCGAAGGCGGGGCCGAUAACUGGGUGAAGUCGUAACAAGGUACC
Molecule: ribosomal RNA, 199 nt
Filed under: uncultured bacterium
Lineage: Bacteria
Description: partial 16S ribosomal RNA
Rfam family: Bacterial small subunit ribosomal RNA
Source: RNAcentral